ACUUUUGUCUUCGGAUGGAGGUUUUCUAGUGGCGAACGGGUGAGUAACGCGUUGGUGACCUGUCCCGAAGUGGAGAAUAACAGUUCGAAAGGAUUGCUAAUACUUCAUGAUAUCAAUUGGAUUAGAUACCUUUUGAUCAAAGGCGAAAGCCGCUUUGGGAGGGGCCUGCGUCCCAUCAGCUAGUUGGUAGGGUAAUGGCCUACCAAGGCAAAGACGGGUAGGGGACCUAAGAGGGUGACCCCCCACACUGGCACUGAAACACGGGCCAGACACCUACGGGUGGCAGCAGUAGGGAAUUUUGGACAAUGGGCGAAAGCCUGAUCCAGCAACGCCGCGUGCGCGAUGAAGGCCUUCGGGUUGUAAAGCGCUUUUAGAGGAGAUGAGAAAGGACAGUAUCCUCUGAAUAAGCCUCGGCGAACUACGUGCCAGCAGCCGCGGUAAAACGUAGGAGGCUAGCGUUAUCCGGAUUUAUUGGGCGUAAAGCGUGUGCAGGCGGUUUGGUAAGUUGGAUGUGAAAACUCCUGGCUUAACUGGGAGAGGUCGUUCAAAACUACCAGACUAGAGAAUGGGAGAGGGAGAUGGAAUUCCGGGUGUAGUGGUGAAAUGCGUGGAUAUCCGGAGGAACACCAG
RNAcentral lists this ribosomal RNA (630 nucleotides) under uncultured bacterium. RNAcentral's name for it is "bacterial SSU rRNA". It matches the Rfam family "Bacterial small subunit ribosomal RNA", at positions 70 to 712 of the family's 1533-position model. The record is from RNAcentral.